UCCUACGGGAGGCAGCAGUGGGGAAUCUUGCACAAUGGAGGAAACUCUGAUGCAGCGAUGCCGCGUGAGUGAAGAAGGCCCUUGGGUUGUAAAGCUCUUUUGUCGGGAAAGAUAAUGACUGUACCCGAAGAAUAAGGUCCGGCUAACUUCGUGCCAGCAGCCGCGGUAAU
Molecule: ribosomal RNA, 170 nt
Filed under: uncultured Alphaproteobacteria bacterium
Lineage: Bacteria; Pseudomonadati; Pseudomonadota; Alphaproteobacteria
Description: partial 16S ribosomal RNA
Rfam family: Bacterial small subunit ribosomal RNA
Source: RNAcentral